CAGUGAUGGUGAAGUUCUGUCCUGAAGCUUUUGGUGACUCUUCUUUCUCCUUGUACCAGGUGUAAUUAGCUGCUGGGUUAGCGUCACUGCUACAGGUCAGAGUCACUGAGCUGCCCUCCUCUACCUCAGCAGAGGG
Molecule: long non-coding RNA, 136 nt
Organism: Monopterus albus (swamp eel)
Lineage: Eukaryota; Metazoa; Chordata; Actinopteri; Synbranchiformes; Synbranchidae
Exons: 2
Source: RefSeq, a predicted model, not a curated record